UACAGAGGGCGCGAGCGUUAAUCGGAAUUACUGGGCGUAAAGGGCGCGUAGGCGGUUUAUCAAGUGAGAUGUGAAAUCCCCGGGCUUAACCUGGGAACUGCAUCUUAAACUGAUAGGCUGGAGUACUGUAGAGGAUAGUGGAAUUUCCGGUGUAGCGGUGAAAUGCGUAGAGAUCGGAAGGAACAUCAGUGGCGAAGGCGACUGUCUGGACAGAUACUGACGCUGAGGCGCGAAAGCGUGGGGAGCAAACAGG
Molecule: ribosomal RNA, 253 nt
Filed under: uncultured bacterium
Lineage: Bacteria
Description: partial 16S ribosomal RNA
Rfam family: Bacterial small subunit ribosomal RNA
Source: RNAcentral